UACGUAGGGCGCAAGCGUUGUCCGGAAUUAUUGGGCGUAAAGAGCUCGUAGGCGGUUUGUCGCGUCUGCUGUGAAAACCUAAGGCUCAACCUUGGGCUUGCAGUGGGUACGGGCAGACUAGAGUGCGGUAGGGGUGACUGGAAUUCCUGGUGUAGCGGUGAAAUGCGCAGAUAUCAGGAGGAACACCGAUGGCGAAGGCAGGUCUCUGGGCGAUUAAACUGACGC
This 225-nucleotide ribosomal RNA is filed under the name uncultured bacterium. RNAcentral's name for it is "partial 16S ribosomal RNA". It matches the Rfam family "Bacterial small subunit ribosomal RNA", at positions 524 to 746 of the family's 1533-position model. The record is from RNAcentral.